This 494-nucleotide ribosomal RNA is filed under the name uncultured bacterium. Its description in RNAcentral is "partial 16S ribosomal RNA". It matches the Rfam family "Bacterial small subunit ribosomal RNA", at positions 30 to 507 of the family's 1533-position model. The record is from RNAcentral.
AUUGAACGCUGGCGGCAGGCUUUACACAUGCAAGUCGAACGGCAGCGGGGAGGAGCUUGCUUAUCUGCCGGCGAGUGGCGAACGGGUGAGUAAUACAUCGGAACGUGUCGAGAAGAGGGGGAUAACCACCCGAAAGGGUGGCUAAUACCGCAUAAAUUCUGAGGAAGAAAGCUGGGGACCUGGGAAUAGGCCUAGCGCUUGUUAAGCGGCCGAUGUCGGAUUAGCUAGUUGGUGAGGUAAAGGCUCACCAAGGCGAAGAUCUGUAGCGGGUCUGAGAGGAUGGUCCGCCACACUGGGACUGAGACACGGCCCAGACUCCUACGGGAGGCAGCAGUGGGGAAUUUUAGACAAUGGGGGCAACCCUGAUCCAGCCAUGCCGCGUGUAGGAAGAAGGCCUUAGGGUUGUAAAGUACUUUUGUUAGGGAAGAAAAGUCAGAUGUGAAUAAUGGCUGAUACUGACGGUACCUAAAGAAUAAGCACCGGCUAACUACGUG